This 510-nucleotide ribosomal RNA is filed under the name uncultured bacterium. Its description in RNAcentral is "partial 16S ribosomal RNA". It matches the Rfam family "Bacterial small subunit ribosomal RNA", at positions 28 to 507 of the family's 1533-position model. The record is from RNAcentral.
GACGAACGCUGGCGGCGUGCUUAACACAUGCAAGUCGAACGAAGAGCGAUGGAAGCUUGCUUCUAUCAAUCUUAGUGGCGAACGGGUGAGUAACGCGUAAUCAACCUGCCCUUCAGAGGGGGACAACAGUUGGAAACGACUGCUAAUACCGCAUACGAUCUAAUCUCGGCAUGGAGGAUAGAUGAAAGGUGGCCUCUACAUGUAAGCUAUCACUGAAGGUGGGGAUUGCGUCUGAUUAGCUAGUUGGAGGGGUAACGGCCCAGCAAGGCGAUGAUCAGUAGCCGGUCGGAGAGGAUGAACGGCCACAAUGGGAAUGGGACACGGCCCAGACUCCUACGGGAGGCGGCGGUGGGGCAACUUCCGACAUGGACGAAAGACUGACGGAGAAACGCCGCGUGAGUGAUGACGGCCUUCGGGUUGUAAAGCUCUGUUAAUCGGGACGAAAGGGCUUCUGGCGAACAGUUAGAAGGAUUGACGGUACCGGAAUAGAAAGCAACGGCUAACUACGUG